UCUAGACCACUGGGUCAUGCUGCCUUCAGCCUUAGCACCUCGAACUGUCUGCAUCUUGGAUGACUUCCUGAGCAUGGAAUAGAAGUGGAAUUACUCCAACAGGGAAGGCAUGAUGCUGGAUUUGGGGAGUUUUUCAGAAAGCCGCAAAACUGGGGCUACAAGAGAGAUGUGGGCCACUUCCAGACUGUUCCUUCUUUGCCUGUUUUCAGCUCUAUGGAAGGCGCGCCCCCUGGGAGGAUCCUGCCAAGUGGGUGAUGGACACAUAUCCAUGGGCAGCCAGCCCACAACAGCACGAGUGGCCUCCCCUGCUGCAGUUACGGCCUGAGGAUGUCGGCUUCGACGGCUACUCCAUGCCUCGAGAGGGAUCGACAAGCAAGCAGAUGCCCCCCAGUGAUGCUGAAGGUGACCCGCUGAUGAACAUGCUGAUGAGGCUGCAGGAGGCAGCCAACUACUCCAGCCCCCAGAGCUAUGACAGCGACUCCAACAGCAACAGCCAUCACGAUGACAUCUUGGACUCCUCUUUGGAGUCCACUCUGUGACAGGGGCCCGGAGCCCAGCGCCCU
RNAcentral lists this small RNA (563 nucleotides) under Pan troglodytes (chimpanzee). RNAcentral's name for it is "retained intron". The record is from RNAcentral. Lineage: Eukaryota; Metazoa; Chordata; Mammalia; Primates; Hominidae.